RNAcentral lists this ribosomal RNA (744 nucleotides) under uncultured bacterium. RNAcentral describes it as "bacterial SSU rRNA". It matches the Rfam family "Bacterial small subunit ribosomal RNA", at positions 78 to 818 of the family's 1533-position model. The record is from RNAcentral.
GCUUGCUUCUCUUGAGAGCGGCGGACGGGUGAGUAAUGCCUAGGAAUCUGCCUAGUGGUGGGGGAUAACGUUCGGAAACGGACGCUAAUACCGCAUACGUCCUACGGGAGAAAGCGGGGGAUCUUCGGACCUCGCGCCAUUAGAUGAGCCUAGGUCGGAUUAGCUAGUUGGUGAGGUAAUGGCUCACCAAGGCGACGAUCCGUAACUGGUCUGAGAGGAUGAUCAGUCACACUGGAACUGAGGCACGGUCCAGACUCCUACGGGAGGCAGCAGUGGGGAAUAUUGGACAAUGGGCGAAAGCCUGAUCCAGCCAUGCCGCGUGUGUGAAGAAGGUCUUCGGAUUGUAAAGCACUUUAAGUUGGGAGGAAGGGUAGUAACCUAAUACGUUGCUACUUUGACGUUACCGACAGAAUAAGCACCGGCUAACUUCGUGCCAGCAGCCGCGGUAAUACGAAGGGUGCAAGCGUUAAUCGGAAUUACUGGGCGUAAAGCGCGCGUAGGUGGUUCAGUAAGUUGGAAGUGAAAUCCCCGGGCUCAACCUGGGAACUGCUUUCAAAACUGCUGAGCUAGAGUACGGUAGAGGGUGGUGGAAUUUCCUGUGUAGCGGUGAAAUGCGUAGAUAUAGGAAGGAACACCAGUGGCGAAGGCGACCACCUGGACUGAUACUGACACUGAGGUGCGAAAGCGUGGGGAGCAAACAGGAUUAGAUACCCUGGUAGUCCACGCCGUAAACGAUGUCAACUA